UGUCAAAGCUCGUGUGGUUGACAACUCUCAAUAUGUGGGAAAAAGCAUCUUGGAAACGCUUAGAAAUGGUCUUCAAAAAUAUAGCCAAUUGCCGCCUUGAAUUGAAUCAAAUCGUCGACUCAAAUAUAAAAGAAGGAGCAACUCGCCGAGUUUUAUGUGGAGACUCGCCGAGUUGAAUCGCUAUACUCGCAGAAAUCGUGAGUUUUUGCUUGGACUCGUCGAGUUAGUAUUAUGCACUCGACGAGUUCUUGACUCUGAUCAGGCCUUUUCUUCUUUCUGCUUCAGCUUUAAUUUUGUGUUCAAGGAGAGUAUCAAGGUAAUAAAACUCCUCAUUUUCUUAAGGGACGAGACUCUUUUUAAUUUAAUAUAAACAUCGGACUCAACAUAUCGCUCAAAAUCUUCUAAUCUUCUCGUAAACGACUCGACCGCUCACUUUAAUUCCCUCACGCUUUAAGAAUUCAUCACCCUAGCUUCUAAAAAGAUCAAAGACAAAACCACGUAAUAAAAAGGAAAACAAACAUCAAAAUAAAAAUUCCUAUAUUAUCCCUAAAUACUAGAAGUUUAAAAGAAAAAGAAAAGAAAACUCUAACGACGGGUUGCCUCCCGCAAGCGCUUCUUUUUGUGCGAAUCUUGAGCUGGACUCUCAACUUAAUAAACUUCCAAUAUACUCAAUGCCAAUCCAUCUGUUGCAUUGAAUAUUUUCUUUGGAUCAAUUUGUAAAAUUUGGCUCUUUUCUUCUAAAAUUGGCCAAACGAGCUCGAAUUCAUGAAACCCAACAAUCUUGACAAGGUUUGGAACCGGUUGGAUACUAAUCAUAAAUGGAUCGCGCUUCAGAACUUUCUCCAAAGCUGGAGUCGUCACCCCACACUUCGAAACACAAACUGAAAAUACAGGGGGCCAUGUCGUGGUAAUGGUCAAACUACAGCUUGGUUCCUGCAAUUCAGCUUGUUCUUGUUCUUCGUCUGACCUCUCUGCUAGCAAUCUUUCCAGCUCCUCCAAGUCUCUUUCUGGAUUAAAUUCUUCAUCUUGUAACUCAAAUGUCCCUUCUGUGUUGGGCAAGAUGUUAUCUAACCAUCUUCCAAAUUUCUUCAAAUCUUCAUCUGAGUCAUACUCCUCAUCUCCUUGCUCAAUUUCCUGUACUACUUCCUCAAGAAAAGCAUCAAAAGCAUCGAGAUUUGGAAAAUACAUAAUAAAUAAAAAUUAAAAUUAAAAUUAAACUAAAUAAAAAAAUUAAUCAAAAAAUAAAAAAAAAAUAAUAACAAUUAGCAAAUAAAAUUAANACUAAAUAUGCUCAUAUCAAAAUACCCCACACUUGACUUUUGCUUGCCCCCAAGCAAAACUGAAUUUUAGUACACUAAUAUUACAUAAGACAAUCCCAAUCGAACCCAGCCAUUAUGCCAAGACCGCAACGCAUGCAUUUGUGUCUAAAAUUUUCCUAAUAACCCCCCAUACUCCAAAUACUCACAAUCCUCAUAAACAUUCGCCCACUUUUUCCGAACAAUGCUCAUUUUAUGCAUCCCUCCGAAUCCAUCCUCAGAAAACCUCUUAACCUCAAGGUAUUUUUAGUUGAGCAACCCAAACAUACAUAAUCUAGAAUUACAACUUUUCGAUACCACUAUGGAGCUCUUUUGAAUUCUUCAUUUCCUUGAUAAUUUGAUCUUUGAUCUCUUUGAAUUCACCACCUUUAUUGUUUGAUUUUUGAUAUCUUCAACUUUUUGGAUUUCUUGGAAUUUUGAUCUUUUGAUCUUUACUUUAACUUCUCCAAAAUUCCUACAAAUUUUCUUGUAAUUCUGUCUUUUGUUUUUUUACAUGUACCUCACUUUUUUUUCACUCAAAACCUACAUGCUUAAGUAGGGGCGCUCAACUUCAACCUUUAUUGGUUAACGAUAAUAAUUUUCCUGGAUACAUUUCUGGUACACGAUGCUAAACAUAUUGCAUCCUUGAAACUAAGCGAGGUCGUGUUUUUGUCCCAUGAUUUCACUAGAAUAAGGAAGCCACAAAUGCACUAGAACGUAUAUAGGCUCAACUAAACAUUUGGGUUUUCAUGCAAUCAUCAAAUAUAAUACUAGCAUAGAAUCCUAAUUGCUUGACCAAAAUUUUCUAAAUUAUCCCUAGCAAUUUAAAUGCAAAAUUUUCAAAAUUUAUCAUAAAUUAACUAAAAUUUUAACUAAUUUAACCAACCCCCUACCCCACAUUUAAUUUAUGCAAUGUCCCCAUUGCAUAUAAUGGAUGAUAAAGAACAAUAAAAUAAAGAGGGAAUUGGAACAAACUCCCCUAGGAUAGUAGUCGCGAGGUUAAUCUUCUUAAUGUAAAGCUCCAACUUCAGCUGACUUUGGCAUGGGAACAGCGCAUCCAUGCCUUGGGUGUCAAAGCUCGUGUGGUUAACAACUCUCAAUAUGUGGGAAAAAGCAUCUUGGAAACGCUUAGAAAUGGUCUUCAAAAAUAUAGCCAAUUGCCGCCUUGAAUUGAAUCAAAUCGUCGACUCAAAUAUAAAAGAAGGAGCAACUCGCCGAGUUUUAUGUGGAGACUCGCCGAGUUGAAUCGCUAUACUCGCAGAAAUCGUGAGUUUUUGCUUGGACUCGUCGAGUUAGUAUUAUGCACUCGACGAGUUCUUGACUCUGAUCAGGCCUUUUCUUCUUUCUGCUUCAGCUUUAAUUUUGUGUUCAAGGAGAGUAUCAAGGUAAUAAAACUCCUCAUUUUCUUAAGGGACGAGACUCUUUUUAAUUUAAUAUAAACAUCGGACUCAACAUAUCGCUCAAAAUCUUCUAAUCUUCUCGUAAACGACUCGACCGCUCACUUUAAUUCCCUCACGCUUUAAGAAUUCAUCACCCUAGCUUCUAAAAAGAUCAAAGACAAAACCACGUAAUAAAAAGGAAAACAAACAUCAAAAUAAAAAUUCCUAUAUUAUCCCUAAAUACUAGAAGUUUAAAAGAAAAAGAAAAGCAAACUCUAAUGACGGGUUGCCUCCCGCAAGCGCUUCUUUUUGUGCGAGUCUUGAGCUGGACUCUCAACUUAAUAAACUUCCAAUAUACUCAAUGCCAAUCCAUCUGUUGCAUUGAAUAUUUUCUUUGGAUCAAUUUGUAAAAUUUGGCUCUUUUCUUCUAAAAUUGGCCAAACGAGCUCGAAUUCAUGAAACCCAACAAUCUUGACAAGGUUUGGAACCGGUUGGAUACUAAUCAUAAAUGGAUCGCGCUUCAGAACUUUCUCCAAAGCUGGAGUCGUCACCCCACACUUCGAAACACAAACUGAAAAUACAGGGGGCCAUGUCGUGGU
This 3273-nucleotide long non-coding RNA is filed under the name Lactuca sativa (garden lettuce). Its description in RNAcentral is "long non-coding RNA (LSAT_LNC003724)". Lineage: Eukaryota; Viridiplantae; Streptophyta; Magnoliopsida; Asterales; Asteraceae. The record is from RNAcentral.